Non-coding RNA from Heterocephalus glaber (naked mole-rat), 2050 nucleotides. The record is from RefSeq and is a predicted model, not a curated record. Lineage: Eukaryota; Metazoa; Chordata; Mammalia; Rodentia; Bathyergidae.
ACUUCCGCCGGCGGCAACAUGGAGGGCCUCAGGCCUUGCCACGCAGACUUCCGCCCGGCGCAAAGACCAAGGGCCGGUGGAGCGUCAGGUCAGAGGUGAAGCGACGCGCAGUGUGAAGCUGCAGCCCAGUUGCGUCCCAGCCUCGUGCCUGGCGGGGUGCUUGGAGGGCAGCAUGUCGGAAGGAAACGCCGCUGGCGGGCCCAGCACUCCGGGAGGGCCGCGACCCAUCCUGUCUGGGUCCCGGGGACUUAUUGGGCGGCGACCCGCACCCUCUCUCCCACCGGGCCGCCUUCCCUCCAUGCGCUCCAGGGACCUCACCCUCGGGGGAGUCAAGAAGAAAACCUUCACCCCAAAUAUCAUCAGUCGGAAGAUCAAGGAAGAGCCUAAGGAAGAAGCAACCGUGAAGAAGGAGAAGCGUGAGCGGGAUAGGGACCGCCAGCGGGAGGGCCAUGGACGAGGCCGGGGCCGCCCAGAAGUGAUCCAGUCCCACUCUAUCUUUGAGCAAGGCCCUGCAGAAAUGAUGAAGAAAAAAGGGAACUGGGAUAAGACGGUGGAUAUGUCGGACAUUGGACCCUCUCAUAUCAUCAACAUCAAAAAGGAGAAGAGGGAGACGGAUGAAGAAACCAAGCAGAUCCUGCGCAUGCUGGAGAAGGAUGAUUUCAUUGAUGACCCUGGACUGAGGAAUGACACACGAAACAUGCCUGUACAGUUACCACUGGCUCACUCAGGGUGGCUUUUUAAGGACGAGAGUGAGGAGCCAGAUGUUAAGCCUUGGCUGGCUGGUGCCAAGGAGGAGGACAUGGAGAUAAAUACACCUGCGGUGAAAGCAGUGAAAGAGGAGCCUGGAGAUGAGGCCGAGAUGAAGGCUCCUCCCAGGCUAGCUAGGAAGACCCCAGGCCUUCCAAAGGAUGUGUCUGUGGCCGAGCUGCUCCGGGAGCUCAGCCUCACGAAGGAUGAGGAGCUGCUGUUCCUCCAGCUGCCAGACACCCUCCCCGGCCAGCCACCCACUCAGGACAUCAAGCCUGUCAAGACAGAGGUGCAGGGCGACGAUGGACAGAUGGUGGUCAUAAAGCAAGAAAAGGACCGGGUAUGCCCAGGAGCAAGUUCCGGGAAAACUCAGGGAAGCCAGGCUGGCAGAGAACUCUUGCACCUUGGCUGACCUGACCGAGGGCCAAGUUGGCAAGCUGCUCAUCCGUAAGUCAGGGAAGGUACAGCUCCUCCUGGGAAAGGUGACUCUGGACGUGACCAUGGGAAGCACUUGUUCCUUCCUGCAGGAGCUGGUGUCUGUGGGCCUUGGAGACAGUAGGACAGGGGACAUGACAGUCCUGGGACACGUGAAGCACAAACUUGUCUGUUCCCCUGAUUUUGAAUCCCUCUUGGAUCACAAACACCGGUAAAAUGAGCAGAUGGAGGAGGAUGGCGACUGUGCCCACAGCUGCCGCCUGCUCCAGACAUUUUGUUCCUACAUCCAUGUGACCCAGAAGGGGCCUGGGGAGACCACCCACUCCAGCCUUUGGCAGCCAUCAGUUACCCCCCGCUGGAGCCCACGCAGCUCCCUCCCCCGGCAGCUGUGAACUGCACAGUGACCUUCCCACAGUGUGGAUACAGAUGGCAUGUUCUCGCUGCUGGGCACCUGCCCCACUAUUGCUAUUUAUUUUUAUAUUUAUGUCUUAAUCUCCUCAGUUGAGUGUACCUUCCCGAGGUAGGUUCCACAGGCUCCUUGUCUUGGAGAACCUCAGGCUGCAGAGAUGGAAAUGACUUGGCUUCUGCUCUCUCCUUCCCCAGAGGCAGGAAGGAGAGAGCGAGCAGGAGGCAGUCUGGAGCAUGCAGCCCCAGCUCAUUGGUUCCUAGUUCUCAGCCCUUAGACAAACUGCCUAACUUUUCUGAGCAUCGUAUUCCUCAUCUGACAGAAAUGGGGGUGAUACAGAAAUGGGGGUGCUACCUACCUCACAGAGUUGGUGUGAGGAUCAAGGGGAAUAUUGUGGAUGGAACUCUGCAGAGGCCAGAGAUAUACCCAUAGGCUUUCAAUAAACAUUAGUUUUCUCUUUGC